UACGGAGGAUCCGAGCGUCAUCCGGAUUUAUUGGGUUUAAAGGGUGCGUAGGCGGCCUGUUAAGUCAGGGGUGAAAGACGGUAGCUCAACUAUCGCAGUGCCCUUGAUACUGAUGGGCUUGAAUGUACUAGAGGUAGGCGGAAUGUGACAAGUAGCGGUGAAAUGCAUAGGUAUGUCACAGAACACCAAUUGCGAAGGCAGCUUACUAUGGUAUUAUUGACGCUGAGGCACGAAAGCGUGGGGAUCAAACAGG
RNAcentral lists this ribosomal RNA (253 nucleotides) under uncultured bacterium. RNAcentral's name for it is "partial 16S ribosomal RNA". It matches the Rfam family "Bacterial small subunit ribosomal RNA", at positions 524 to 776 of the family's 1533-position model. The record is from RNAcentral.